This 411-nucleotide ribosomal RNA is filed under the name Dichromacalles boroveci. RNAcentral's name for it is "eukaryotic LSU rRNA". It matches the Rfam family "Eukaryotic large subunit ribosomal RNA", at positions 1318 to 1650 of the family's 3401-position model. The record is from RNAcentral. Lineage: Eukaryota; Metazoa; Arthropoda; Insecta; Coleoptera; Curculionidae.
AUGGAUGGCGCUGAAGCGUCGUGCUUAUACUCGACCGUCAGCGGCAAGAGCGAUCGCCCGCAAGGGCGGUCACCAAGCCCUGACGAGUAGGAGGGUCGCGGCGGUGAGCGCAGAAGGGCUGGCCGCGAGGCCGUCUGGAGCCGCCGUCGGUGCAGAUCUUGGUGGUAGUAGCAAAUACUCCAGCGAGGCCCUGGAGGACUGACGUGGAGAAGGGUUUCGUGUGAACAGCCGUUGCACACGAGUCAGUCGAUCCUAAGCCCUAGGCGAAAGCCGAUGUCGAUGCGGUGUAGCUUUAUUGUUAUUAUUAAUUUAAUUAUAAAUUUACGCACACACCCGUCGGGCGAAAGGGAAUCCGGUUCCUAUUCCGGAACCUGGCAGCGGAACCGUCAAUAAGUCGGGCCCUCGCAAGAG